GGUUGUGGCUCAGUGGUAGAGCACUUGCCUAGCAAGUGUGAGGCACUGGGUUCCAUCAUCAACACCACAUAAAAAUAAAUAAAUAAGUAAAAUGAAGGUAUCUGUUCAUCUACAACUAAAGUAUUUUUUAUAAAUAUUAAGAAAAUUGGGGGCUGGGGAUGUGGCUCAAGUGGUAGCGCGCUCUCCUGGUAUGCAUGUGGCCUGGGUUCGAUCCUCAGCACCA
Molecule: transfer RNA, 223 nt
Filed under: Marmota monax (woodchuck)
Lineage: Eukaryota; Metazoa; Chordata; Mammalia; Rodentia; Sciuridae
Description: tRNA.Ala
Source: RNAcentral